Molecule: transfer RNA, 78 nt
Filed under: Promethearchaeota archaeon
Lineage: Archaea; Promethearchaeati; Promethearchaeota
Also listed under: 1 other name
Description: Candidatus Lokiarchaeota archaeon (microbial mat metagenome) tRNA-Arg
Rfam family: tRNA
About the family: Transfer RNA (tRNA) molecules are approximately 80 nucleotides in length. Their secondary structure includes four short double-helical elements and three loops (D, anti-codon, and T loops). Further hydrogen bonds mediate the characteristic L-shaped molecular structure. tRNAs have two regions of fundamental functional importance: the anti-codon, which is responsible for specific mRNA codon recognition, and the 3' end, to which the tRNAs corresponding amino acid is attached (by aminoacyl-tRNA synthetases). tRNAs cope with the degeneracy of the genetic code in two manners: having more than one tRNA (with a specific anti-codon) for a particular amino acid; and 'wobble' base-pairing, i.e. permitting non-standard base-pairing at the 3rd anti-codon position.
Source: RNAcentral
GGGCCCGUGGCCUAGUCUGGAUAAGGCACUAGCCUCCUAAGUUAGUUAGCCCCGGUUCAAAUCCGGGCGGGCCCGCCA